Molecule: ribosomal RNA, 260 nt
Filed under: Salmonella enterica subsp. enterica serovar Saintpaul
Lineage: Bacteria; Pseudomonadati; Pseudomonadota; Gammaproteobacteria; Enterobacterales; Enterobacteriaceae
Also listed under: 3 other names
Description: partial 23S ribosomal RNA
Rfam family: Bacterial large subunit ribosomal RNA
Source: RNAcentral
UGAGGGAAAGGCGAAAAGAACCCCGGCGAGGGGAGUGAAAAAGAACCUGAAACCGUGUACGUACAAGCAGUGGGAGCACCCUUUGGGGUGUGACUGCGUACCUUUUGUAUAAUGGGUCAGCGACUUAUAUUCUGUAGCAAGGUUAACCGAAUAGGGGAGCCGGAGGGAAACCGAGUCUUAAUUGGGCGUUAAGUUGCAGGGUAUAGACCCGAAACCCGGUGAUCUAGCCAUGGGCAGGUUGAAGGUUGGGUAACACUAAC